UUGCCAAGGGAACAGCGUUCCCGGAAGCAGGAGGGCUUUGGACGCGCAGCCCCUUCCCCUUCCAGAGAAGCCGAGGUGGCGGGAAAGACCCCUCCCCUUGGGGGACAGGCGGUGACGCUCUGCGCCCGUCAGUGACCCGCCGACCGGUGACUGCCUCCCGGAGUUGUGCCCGGAAGGAUAUCAAUGGAUAUUAUAAAGGGAAACUUAGAUGGAAUUUCAAAACCAGCCUCCAAUUCAAGAACACGUCCUGGGAGCAGAGAUUCAAGUACUUCUUUGGAGGUGCUCUCACCGGAACCAGCAUCCUUCAAGAUUGAUACUGCAAUCAAGUUGAACUUUGGUAAAGAGAGCAACUCAGACAGCAGUAAUGCAGAGGAAAGUAGAAACAAUAAUGAUGAUAAAGGGGAAAAUGAGAAACCAAAAAUGGUGGAGGAAGAGUCAGAUGAAGAUCUGAACUUUGUUCAACAUCAGACAGCCUCUGAAUGUUCAGAUGAACCUGAAUUAAAAGAAUUAGAUUCUCAACUUCAAGAUGCUAUUCAGAAGAUGAAGAGGCUUGAUAAGAUAUUGGUGAAGAGACAAUAUAGAGAAAAAGAAAUUAAGAAGCAAGGUCUAGACAUGAGAAUAAAGCUGUGGGAAGAACUUAAGUCUGCAAAAAAUAGUGAAGCAUUGCAAAAUAACGAGGAGAUGGAAAAUACAAAAAAGUUUCUAGCUUUGACUGCUGCAUCAGAAGGAACUGCCAAUCCUACUCACUGUGAGCUUGAAGACACGUUUUACUCAGUGUUUCACACUCAGGUCCCUCCAGAAGAAUAUGAAAACCAUAUACAGAAUGACAAUCAAGAUUUUACUUAUGAUGUGGAAGGAAACGAGUCAUUAAUCAAAGCAGAAAAGAAACCUUUUUCAAAUACAGAAAACAUUGAGCUCAGGGGUAAACACAGCCAAGAUUUUAUUAAGCGAAACAUUGAGUUGGCCAAGAAUUCAGGAAAGCCUGUGGUCAUGACUGACAGAGAGAAGAAAAGGCUGAUUGAACUUUUAAAGGACUUAGAUGAUGGAGAUUCGGGGCUGUCCUGUCCUGAGGGUGAUGAGUCUGGCUGGCUGGUCCCAGGAGAAGGAUACACACUUGCAAUCACCCAGCACCAGCAGCUUGCUGAAAUAGACACAAAGCUCCAAGAACUUUCUGCAGCCUCACCAACAAGUUCUAGCUUCUCUCCAAAACUUGAAAACCAGAGUGACCAGGAACCUGACCUUAAUGUUGAUGAUAGAAAUAUGGAAAUAACACCAGGAGAAAAGGUGCUUCGGAACACCAAAGAGCAACGGGAUCAGCAAAACCGGCUGAGAGAGAUAGAUGAUAAACUAAGGAAGCUGAAGGAAAGUGUGUUAGAUUCAGCAUCACUUCUCUCUGAGGAACAGUUAAGGUGUCUUCUGGAUGAAUGCAUACUCAAACAGAAGUCUGUGACUAGACUUUCUUCAGAAAGAGAAAAGGAAGACAUUGAGGAUAUAACACCGGAGGUCCCCUGUCUUUCCAGAUCUAUCCUUUCUGAGCUCCUAAAUGGGUUAGAAACAAAAUUCACAGAGGUGAAAGAUGCAGAUGUGCUGGAGAAUGUGGAAUGUGAAACACGUACAGGCUACUAUCUCACCAAAGCCUUGACUGGGCAUUUCACAUCCCGGGCUCUUGUCAUCGAAGCAGAGAAUUUGAAAUGCCUCCAACUUUCUGAGGACAAAGUUAUUUGUGACACAAAAGACUAUUUUAUGUCGAAGACCCUUGGCAUUGGAAGACUGAAAAGGCCCUCUUUCUUGGAUGAUCCACUGUAUGGCAAAAAUGUGAGCCUUUCAUCUGAAGACCAACAUCUGAAAGUCAGCCCUCCAGAGAAACCAGAAAUGGAUGAAUAGGAGACUGAAGAUGUGAUGGAAGAAUGGAAAGAAUCUUAAAGAUUUGCUGGGUGUGCUUUUAAGAAAGUUGGAUUUUAAGAGAAGGGGAGGAAGACAGAAUGAUCUUGAGUAAUGGAUUUUGCCAUUGAAAGAGGGGACACCAUUUCAUAGCAGAAACAGAACUGUACUUUGGAAAGGAUUCAGUAGGACAUUUGAUUACCUUAGUAAAAUACAAAAUAUCCUGGUGGGGGGUCCACAUCUUAAAAAAAAAUCUUGGAAAGGACUCUUCAGGAGGCUCCACACCCAGCAUGGAGCACGAGGGGCUUGAACCCAAGACCCCGAGAUUAAGACCAGAGCCAAGAUCAAGAGUCAGACGGCUAACCUACUGAGAGCCACUCAGGCAUCCCAUCUGGCAGGAAUAGACUUUACCCACACCUCCUAACAAAGCCAGCAGAGAACAAAUAAACAUGGAUACGGUAAGUAUAAAUAUAAAUUUCCAUAUGAUUUAUUGUUGUUCCUUGUACAUAAGAAACAGUAAUAUACAACUUACACUGCUUUAGAAUGUAAAAUGGAUAAAAAUGUGUACAAAAAAAAAGCACAUUCCUAGAAAAAGGUAUUGGCAAAUAGUAAAAACUGGGGGGAGGGGGUAACAAGCAAAAAACAAAUCAAAAAACAAAAACCCCAACAAUUCUUCAAUUCAGUGUGCAAACAUUUUAUAAAAAUAGAAAUACUAACUCUACAGGCAGUAUUUCCUGAUAAAUUAUUUAAAUAGCAUAUCUACACAAUCUGAGAUCUAUUCCAAGGGCAAUGAGAAAAUAAUUUAUAAAAAUAAAGCAAUGGUAUAUAAGAUAGAAAAAAACAACUUUCAGAAAAUGUAUUUAACAUUUCCAUGCUAUUUUCUUAUUGGGAAUACUUUUCUGCAAAGAAUUUUUAUACUAUGUACAACAUUGACUUUUUUUUUUUAAAGUACUACAGUAGCUUUAAGUUUGUAAGACACUUAAACUCUUUCUGCUUGAUCCAAAAAUUCUUUACUCAGUCACACAACAAAUGAGGUAAUAUUUGUAUAGAAGUUUCACCUUUUGUUAUUUUUUUUUUUCUCUUUUGGAAAAACAAAAAAGUGUAGAUACUUUUCUUCUCCCUGGAAAUAGGCACAAGAGAUGGGGUAAAACAGUUAUGAAAGGCCUCGUGGCUUUCUUUGAAACUUAAAGACACUAGCAAACAGACAACUCAUUCCACUUGACAAAGAAAGAAGAUCCCAAAUCAUUCACUCUGAGCACAAAGUGAAGAGCAUCUUGCUCUGAUGUUCCUUGUGCCGUUCAUGAGACAUUGGUUGAUAAAUCUCCACUACCUGCUGUCAGACAUUUUCCAUAUGAAACCUAGAUUCCAGGUAGAACAGAGUUAAUAAAUAAUCUGUAUUUACAAUCUUACAGUCAUGAAGACUCCUAACAAAGCUGAUAUGGAUAGUCCUUACGCUUCUUCCUGUUCCAUGAAUAGUCUUUCAGACAGAUCCUCCAGAGUCAGAGAAGAACACCAUUUCUUGAGAGAAGACGAACAACCCUAGCCUACCACCAGCAUAAGUUUUGUCAUAGAUGGGUCCUGAAUCAGCCAUGAUUUUCUUCCCUUCAUACAUCACCACGCUGCAGGAGAAAGAAAAAUCUUGUUAAUGACACCCCUG
Canis lupus familiaris (dog) is the source of this 3538-nucleotide RNA transcript. It is a transcript of the gene named fibrous sheath interacting protein 1, with no coding region annotated. Lineage: Eukaryota; Metazoa; Chordata; Mammalia; Carnivora; Canidae. The record is from RefSeq and is a predicted model, not a curated record. The transcript is spliced from 16 exons.